RNA transcript from Oryza sativa Japonica Group (Japanese rice), 3177 nucleotides. It is a transcript of the gene named adenylylsulfatase HINT3, with no coding region annotated. Lineage: Eukaryota; Viridiplantae; Streptophyta; Magnoliopsida; Poales; Poaceae. The record is from RefSeq and is a predicted model, not a curated record.
CCUCCGCCGCGCCCCAUGUCGCCGCCGGUGAGCUCGGGGGCGCCGGUGCAGGAGCGGCGCCUCGGGGUGCUCCUCUCCCACCUCCGCCCGUGCGCGCCGCCGGCCGCGCGGCGGGGCAACCACCACCACCACCACCACGACCUGCGGGUGCGGGAGGCGGAGGGAACGGGCGGCCUCGCCGCGUCUCCCUGCGCCGCCGACGGGAGCGGGGAGACCUCGGGAGGCCAGCGCUGCGUGUUCUGCGAGAUCGUGAAGGGCAACAAGCCAGCCUACAAGCUCUACGAGGACGAUGUGUGCUUGUGCAUCCUGGACACCAAACCACUGAGCACUGGGCAUUCACUGAUCAUUCCAAAACGUCACUUUCCAUCACUACAGGCAACACCGCCAUCUGUAAUAGCAGCUAUAUGUUGUAAACUCCCACUUAUUUCCAGUGCAAUCGUGAAGGCUACUCAAUGUGAUGCAUUCAAUGUGCUUGUCAACAAUGGAAAGGUAGCAGGGCAGGUUAUUUUUCACACUCAUGUUCACCUCAUUCCCCGUAGAAAAGGCGAUAACUUGUGGUCUUCAGAGACUUAUGAAAGGAACUCUAUCAAGCACAACCAGGAAACCAAAGAUCUUGUUAGCGGCAUCAAGGAACUACUCUUCCCACCUCAGGAUGACAGCGCUGAAGGGUCAACGAUACCGAAGGAACUCUAAGAAGUAGAUAACCAAGUCAACAGGCUUAUUUUCUGCUUCUCUCAGUCAUCUUGAAGAGCACUGCUGCGAGAUGAGUUGAUGUUCUUCCUAUCCAACAAAUUCCAUUGGCCAUUGAAGAAUGAAGAAUGAGUCCACAGUUCCAAGCCAAGAGAGAGAGGGAGAGAAAAUCUCUUUCUUGAUUUUGUAGGUGUAGUCUUUGUUCCUCCUGUUGUCGCUCUGGAGAGUGGAGAGCUCUUUGAGAGGUGAUUUUUCUUCACUCAUGGAGUGGGUACUGGCGUACUGCAACAAGAUGGAUGCACCUGUCGACCCUGUUGCAAGCAUUACUGCAGCACGAAAUUUGCCUCUUGGAGUGUGAAAUCACUUCUAUCGUUUACCCCUACAGCUUCGGUAAGUUCGAUACCUGCAGAUAGUUGUCAUUUGUCAACAAACCAACAAAGGCUUACAUAAAAAAAAAAUAACAAACCAACAAAGGCUAACCAUACAAUCAUGUCAGCAGCGGUAAAACGGUUGUACAAUUUUUUUACAAUCUAGCACCUUUUUUAGAAAAAAAAAGUGAUUGUAAAUAGACUCCGUAACUUUUCCUAAAUACUAAACACAAGACAUAAUGGAUCUGAAUCCUCUGCAUUACGACACCGGAAGGACAGUAAAGUAAGGCCGUAUUUAGUUGUAAAAUUUUUCUUUAAACUUUUAAUUUUUCCAUCACAUCAAAACUUUCUACACACAUAAAUUUCCAACUUUUCCAUCACAUCGUUCCAAUUUCAACCAAACCUCCAAUUUUGGCGUGAACUAAACACACCCUAAGUUAGAUAUAGUGAUUCAAAGCAUGAAAUGAACAGUGAUAAAGGUGGGUACUCUGCAUUCCUAAUGGGGUGUGUUGAUCACUUACAUUAGGGUUGGCUCGUACUAGUGGACACUUUAUAUCUUCUGUUUACGUUUGAAAAACAAAGUGAUUCCCUAUAACAUUAUCAUAUCACUUGUUCAUUUUAGAUCCAAAAGUGUUAAUAGCUGACAAAUGCACCAUACUAUUUACAUUUACCUCAAUCAAAAAAAAACAUCCAAUAGUCUAUCGCCAUAAGUGAAUAAUACGGUAUGAGAUGAUUUGGCACCAUCAUGGAUACCCUUUUAAGACUUAAAAAUACACUAGGGAUGACAUAAUUAAUAUAUUGAGAAAAAUAUAAUACAAUAGUGUAGCACUAUGAGCCUUAGGGCGCAUUAAAACAUCGGAAUAGAUGAGGUAAUGGGUGGCACGGACAUCCGUAUUAACUAUUAUAAACUUAAAAAUAAUUUAUUUUAUUUGUUAGAAAAACAUAUAUAAAAUAUUUUUUUCAUUUAGUAGUUCGAAAAAUAUGGCGCUAAAAGCAAAAACGAACAGAGCUUUAGUGCCCUGCGUGAGAGCUUAAUAAUGCUCAAAAGACUUGCUUUUUUUUUUUUAAAGAUAACGCAGCCUUGUGUGAGGCUCAACAAAAACUUGCUUGAUUUUUUUAGAUAACGCAGAUUUGUCAUGGAAGAGGAUUUAAAGUGCUGGACAUAGUUGAUAUGCUGGAGUUAUAUACUUGAUAGUGCAGUGGCAAAAAAUGUGUGUUUUCAACCUCAAAAUUCCAUGUUCAAUCCUUAACACGCACAUAUUUUCUACUUAAAAAUAACUUACUGCAUUAACUUCGCCAUCAUAGAACUUCUAUUACGUCUACUUGUUCAAUACUAUAUUUAGAUUCUACUAUUCUAAAAAUUUCUUCUUAAAAUAACUCACUCCAAUUUCGCCACCAUAGAACUCCUCUUCUAAAAAAAAUUCUUCUUAAAAAUAACUUACUCCAUUAAGUUCACCACCAUAGUACUCCACUGUUACGCUUACUUGUUCAAGAGUAUAUUUGGACUCUACUCUUCUAAAAGGAACGUCCGCUCUCAUAAUUUCCUCUUCAUAUCCACUAUCGCAAUUCCCUCUUUCAUCUACCAAAACCGUCUCCCUCCAAAUCUCUCUGUUUUUAAUAUGCUGUACAUAAUUGUUAUGGCUGAUCUUUUAGCAUUGGUUAUGAUGCAAAGUAAAUGCAGAUGGUAUUUAGGGGGUGUUUAGAUAUAGGGAUGUAAAGUUUUUGUGUGUCACAUCGGGUAUUAUAUAGGGUGUCGUACUGAGUAUUCGGGCACUAAUAAAAAAAACUAAUUAUAGAAUCCGUUAGUAAACCGCGAGAAGAAUUUAUUAAGCCUAAUUAAUCCAUCAUUAGUAAAUGUUUAUUGUAGCACCACAUUGUCAAAUCAUGGAGCAAUUAGGAUUAAAAGAUUUGUCUCGCAAAUUAGUCGCAAUCUGUGCAAUUAGUUAUUUUUUAAGCCUUAUAAUUACUAUUUCAUGCAGGUAUUCAAAUGUUCGAUGUGAUGGAGUAUAAAAUUUAUGUGUGGGAACUAAACAGGGCCUUACAUUGUAAUUUAUUUUCUCUCGUGACUGAUCUCUGAAUUUGCUUAUGACCAGUGCAAGAUGGCCGCGUUAAUAGUCAA